UACGUAGGGUGCAAGCGUUGUCCGGAUUUAUUGGGCGUAAAGAGCUCGUAGGCGGUCUGUCGCGUCGGAUGUGAAAACCCAGGGCUCAACCCUGGGCCUGCAUUCGAUACGGGCAGACUAGAGUACGGCAGGGGAGACUGGAAUUCCUGGUGUAGCGGUGAAAUGCGCAGAUAUCAGGAGGAACACCGGUGGCGAAGGCGGGUCUCUGGGCCGUAACUGACGCUGAGGAGCGAGAGCGUGGGGAGCGAACCGG
This 253-nucleotide ribosomal RNA is filed under the name uncultured bacterium. RNAcentral describes it as "partial 16S ribosomal RNA". It matches the Rfam family "Bacterial small subunit ribosomal RNA", at positions 524 to 776 of the family's 1533-position model. The record is from RNAcentral.